This 329-nucleotide unclassified non-coding RNA is filed under the name soil metagenome. RNAcentral describes it as "partial contains 5.8S ribosomal RNA, internal transcribed spacer 2, and large subunit ribosomal RNA". The stretch from base 1 to 120 matches the Rfam family "5.8S ribosomal RNA", at positions 35 to 154 of the family's 154-position model. The record is from RNAcentral.
GAUGAAGAACGCAGCGAAAUGCGAUAAGUAGUGUGAAUUGCAGAAUUCAGUGAAUCAUCGAAUCUUUGAACGCACAUUGCGCCCUUUGGUAUUCCGGGGGGCAUGCCUGUCCGAGCGUCAUUACAACCCUCAAGCUCAGCUUGGUGUUGGGCCCCGCCGCCCCGGCGGGCCCUAAAGUCAGUGGCGGUGCCGUCCGGCUCCGAGCGUAGUAAUUCUUCUCGCUCUGGAGGUCCGGUCGUGUGCUCGCCAGCAACCCCCAAUUUUUUUCAGGUUGACCUCGGAUCAGGUAGGGAUACCCGCUGAACUUAAGCAUAUCAAUAAGCGGAGGA